Molecule: ribosomal RNA, 405 nt
Filed under: uncultured bacterium
Lineage: Bacteria
Description: partial 16S ribosomal RNA
Rfam family: Bacterial small subunit ribosomal RNA
Source: RNAcentral
AUUGAACGCUAGCGGGAUGCUUUACACAUGCAAGUCGAACGAGUGGCGGACGGGUGAGUAAUAUAUCGGAACGUGCCCAGUAGCGGGGGAUAACUACUCGAAAGUGUCGCUAAUACCGCAUACUAUCGGAGUUGCCGAUAUCGGAUGAGCUAGUUGGUGGGGUAAAGGCUCACCAAGGCUACGAUCCGUAGCUGGUUGGUGAGGAUGACCAGCCACGCUGGGACUGAGACACGGCCCAGACUCCUACGGGAGGCAGCAGUGGGGAAUUUUGGACGAUGGGGGAAAGCCUGAUCCAGCCAUCCCGCGUGUAUGAGAAGGCCUUCGGGUUGUAAAGUACUUUUGGCAGAGAAGCGGUAUCUGCAGAAUAAGCACCGGCUAACUACGUGCCAGCAGCCGCGGUAAUUC